AGUAAAUGCAUGCUGUAAACACAACAAAUAAUUUUUUUACAAGAAAUUAUUAAGGAAUAAAUAUUAAAAUGGAAUUCGGAAUAUUUAUAUAACGUGAAAAAACAAAAAGUAGAGUAUGCUGUGUAGUCAGAGAUUGUCAGAGUAAAGCGAAUAAAAAUUUAAACGUGGUUUUCUAUAAGUUUCCAAAGGCUGGUGGUAGUUCAGUACUAUUAGAAAAUUAUUUUGGUAAUUUUGAAAAAGUUGAUAAAUUAGAAGCAAGGAAGAAGUUAUUUAAAAAUAUAUGAAAUGACUCCUCACAUGAAAGCUUGCUCUUGACAUUUAAAAAAAAAAAAUUAUUUGAUAUUGCCAGGCCACGCCUCCGUGUCAGUUACCAAUUGAAGGAAAGUGUUGGAGAGCAAGCAGUUACCUUUAAGUUGACAGUAACUUGUCCAUAACGAAUUCAAUUUGACUACUAGUGUUAAUCUCAGACAAUGACGUUAAGUUGAUUGAAAGUUUCACUUCAAAUUGUCGUGUGCCUUCAGCAAAACAUCUGGUCACCAACGUCUUUAUCUACGUAUAGGUUUUGCAUAAGAUCAUGUAGCAAGAAAUCGUCGCCCAGACAUGAUUUGCUCAAGGUAUUGUAAACAAAAAUAUUGAAGAUAUCUUAGAUACGGUGCAGUUGAAAAGCUUCUGGUGCAUUUCUUGCACCAGUAACUUAUGCAUGGCUUGCUCAAGAAUUGUCCAAGGUUCACGAUCAAUUGAGAAUAAUCUGGCAAAAAUUAAGCUCAAUCUAGAACUGAGUUUUAAUCCGGCACGAAUGUCUUGUAUAAGGCUUGUACUAGACUUGUUAUUGAAAUCUGGCUACAAGUAUCUGUAGCAAGACACAUAGGUAGGAAAAGACACUAAAGUCUAUCGAACUUGAGACCAGGUUUGCUUGAGCCUUGAACAAGAUUAUUAUAUAGGAUGCUUUUGUUAAUAAUUACAUGAACAAACAAUGGCCAAUUUCAAAUACUUGUAUUUUACAAAGUGUUCAUUAUCGAACGUCAGUUAUAAAAGGAUUAAAUGUAAAUUAUGUCUAUUCAUGUUCCAAGACAAGUUUCUUUUCAACUAAACGAUGUUUCAUUCUAGGAUAACUAUUAAUAAAGCUACAAACAACUAUAAAAUGAUGGAAUCAGAGUUGUCUCGGCUACAUAAGUUAUUUAAAAAAAUUUGCCAUAAUAUUAAAAAAAUCACAGAAACUUUUGUACCAGAAAAAUUAAUAACAAGGAUAAAAAAUAAAUAAUGUUAACUUAAUUUAUCUUGUAUUCACUGUAGACGAUUAAUAUGAGAGCCGGAAUUUUUAUUUUUUAUUGUCAUUUAUGAUGAAUCAACAUGUACUUGUCUAACAAUUGUUUCUUUCGUAUAUUUAUUUAUUUUUUUUAUUUAAACAUUUCAAACGUCAUUUUUUAAACUGCUGAAAAUUCCCGCUACGCUAGCUUGUAAAAAACAAAAGACAAUCGAAAUUGCUAUACUAAUUGUAUUGUUAUUUUACAACGCCAUUUGAUAAAUAAAACUUUUUUAUGUGCAUUUCAUUACUUGUAUAUUUAUUUUAAUAAUUUAUGAAUAAGUUAUAAUAAUUAACAAUAUGACGUCUUGGGCUGCUAUCCCAUUUGUGGAAGUUAUUAAUCGAGUGGUAAAUUUUGAUAUUUGUUCCAAUGGUGGUGAAAUAAAACCAAGAGGUAAUCCUGUUUGGGCAGAAAUUUGUCAAAUUUGGAAACGUCCA
This is a long non-coding RNA of Microplitis demolitor, 1741 nucleotides long. RefSeq lists it as uncharacterized. NCBI's taxonomy places the organism in Eukaryota, Metazoa, Arthropoda, Insecta, Hymenoptera, Braconidae. The record is from RefSeq and is a predicted model, not a curated record. The transcript has 5 exons.